This 253-nucleotide ribosomal RNA is filed under the name uncultured bacterium. RNAcentral describes it as "partial 16S ribosomal RNA". It matches the Rfam family "Bacterial small subunit ribosomal RNA", at positions 524 to 776 of the family's 1533-position model. The record is from RNAcentral.
UACGUAGGGUGCAAGCGUUGUCCGGAAUUACUGGGCGUAAAGAGCUCGUAGGUGGUUUGUCGCGUUGUUCGUGAAAACUCACAGCUCAACUGUGGGCGUGCGGGCGAUACGGGCAGACUAGAGUACUGCAGGGGAGACUGGAAUUCCUGGUGUAGCGGUGAAAUGCGCAGAUAUCAGGAGGAACACCGAUGGCGAAGGCAGGUCUCUGGGCCACUACUGACGCUGAGAAGCGAAAGCGUGGGGAGCAAACAGG